GCCUUCGUGGUGUAGUGGUCAGCAUGUUCGGCGGGUAUUCCAGAAGUCCGUGGUUCGAUUCCCGGAGAGGGCA
Molecule: transfer RNA, 73 nt
Filed under: Stegodyphus mimosarum
Lineage: Eukaryota; Metazoa; Arthropoda; Arachnida; Araneae; Eresidae
Rfam family: tRNA
About the family: Transfer RNA (tRNA) molecules are approximately 80 nucleotides in length.
Source: Rfam by way of RNAcentral